UGGGAAGUCCUCGUGUUGCAUCCCU
RNAcentral lists this non-coding RNA (25 nucleotides) under Arabidopsis thaliana (thale cress). The record is from RNAcentral. Lineage: Eukaryota; Viridiplantae; Streptophyta; Magnoliopsida; Brassicales; Brassicaceae.